GGCCAAAACCAACGAAAUAAUAAAACACCAAAAAUACCGAGUCAAAAACGCCCCCGCGACAAGGUCCCUCGGGCCACCUCCGCGUCCAGCGUCCUCCAACCCCCCCUCCCCUCCCUUCCCGACCCAAUCCGGAGAGCCCGAUCCCGCCAUGGCGUCGGAGAUCGAGGUCCUCGAGGACACGACCGCCGCCGCGGCCGGCGGGGCGGCCGCCGCGGGGGAGGCGGAGGCGGCGGAGGAGGAGUCGCUCAAGGACGACGUCUGCACGGGCGCCGCGUACGGGGACCUCGAGAAGCUGCACCGCCUCGUCGAGCUGGAGGGCCGGUCGGUGACGGAGCCCGACGGCCUCGGCUACCACGCGCUCCAGUGGGCCGCCCUCAACAACCGCGUCGCCGCCGCCCAGUACAUCCUCGAGCAUGGAGCAGAUGUAAAUGCUAUAGACCAUACAGGGCAAACAGCGCUUCACUGGAGUGCAGUGCGUGGUCAUAUUCAAGUUGCAGAACUACUUCUGAAAGAAGGAGCUAAGGUUGAUGCUGCUGAUUUAUAUGGAUAUCAGACCACACAUGUUGCAGCACAGUAUGGUCAGACAGCAUUUCUUUAUCACAUUAUUUCAAAAUGGAAUGCUGAUCCUGAUGUCCCUGACAAUGAUGGCAGAAGUCCUCUUCACUGGGCUGCUUAUAAGGGAUUUGCAGACUCCAUACGCCUCCUUUUGUUUUUGGGUGCUUAUAGGGGGCGGCAAGAUAAAGAAGGUUGUACUCCUUUACAUUGGGCUGCUAUUCGGGGGAAUAUGGAGUCAUGCACUGUGUUAGUUCAGGUUGGUAAGAAGGAGGACCUUAUGGUGCAAGACAAUACUGGGUUAACUCCGGCCCAACUUGCUGCUGAUAAGAGUCACCGGCAAGUUGCAUUUUACCUUGGGAAUGCUAGAAAAGUGCAUGAAAGAGGAUGUGGUGGGAACAAUUAUUUUGGGAAACUAUCAAAAUUAGGACUCGCCCCUGUGCUUUGGUGUAUUAUCAUUGGCUUAAUUGUUGCAUAUAUACAUUCAGUUAUCGCAGGACAAUACAACUCGAAUAUGACAUUACUAUUUGGUUUCUUUUCAUGGUUGGGAGUUUUCCUUGCAAUUGCUGGACUAGUUAUGUUUUAUAGAUGUAGCAGGAAAGAUCCUGGUUACAUCAACAAGAAUAUAAGAGACUCGCAAACUCAAAGAGAUGAUGAACCUUUGUUGAAGAGGGGUCUAGAUAACCCAGAACUUCUGGCUGGCAAUUGGUCUCAACUAUGUAUUACUUGCAAAAUUGUGAGGCCCAUACGCUCAAAACACUGCUCUACAUGUGAUCGCUGUGUUGAGCAAUUUGAUCAUCACUGCCCUUGGGUUUCAAAUUGCAUCGGAAAGCCCAGCAUUGAUAACUGAACUUGGUGUACACACCCAAGCUGAGGCCAAGGAGCAAGAAAAGACUGUUCUGCGCCUAGUUGAUGAAUUGCAAUUUCUUUUGUUCACUUUUUAUUAUUUAUUAUAUAUAAACUUGCGGCAUCGUUCAGUCUAAGCAACAAUUGGUUUCAAUUGCAGAAGAACAAAUGGGAGUUCUUUAUGUUUCUUAUCCUAGAAGUUUCUGCGAUGAUCAUUACUGCUGCAACGGCUGUCAUAAGAGUCGCAGGUGAUCCAGGCUCUCCAGCAUCGUUUGGUGGAUGGCUUAACUAUUCAGCUACGAACCAUCCUUGGGUGGUGUCUUUUGUUAUAAUGGAUCUCUUCCUUUUCUUCGGCGUUAUAACUCUAACAGUAGUUCAAGCAUCACAGAUAUCCGGGAAUAUAACAACAAAUGAGAUGGCAAAUGCCAUGAGGUACAGUUAUCUCAGAGGCCCGGGUGGUCGGUUCAGAAAUCCAUUUGAUCACGGGGUGAGGAAGAAUUGUUCUGACUUCUUCCUGAAGGGGUACAAUGAGGAUAUUGAGAAGGUAGAACAGACGUCACAUCCUGACGAGGAAAUGGCAAUUAUGCACAUGACAAGAAGUGCAGUCUCGCAGAACGGUGAGAGUGUGCCACUUCAUGCUAAUGGUGCUGACCAUGUUUGUGCUGACUCACAAACCAACUCAAAAUCGCAUCGCCAAGUUAGUUCGUCUAAAUGUUGUGAUCACAGUAAGAAGACUGACAAAACCCCUUUGGGCCUAGGGUUGGGCCUUGGACGAAACAAUCCCUCUAGCCGUUAUGCACGGAAUCUUCUCCCCUUGUGACUCAUUUGGAGAAUGGCCCCUUGUUCCCUUGCGAUUCAUUUGGAGAAGGCAAGUGUUCUCUUAUUUUAGUUGUAUGUGUUCGUUACACCACGACAGUUGGCUGGCUAUUUCUUCAUAUUGCUAUCGCUUCUUUCUGGCUGCACUGAUAUCGUCAAGGUUGAUGACUAGAUGCAGAGCCACAGAUUCAGUGAGUAUUGAGAUGGCAAGAGCACAAAAGGAGAUCGAAGUUGUAUGAGAGCUCCAAGCGGCAGAAAAAUUCUGAAGGCAUAAUAUUCUUUUGCGUGCAAAAAAUGCACCAGUGUACAUUAUGUUUGACAUUUUGUAUGUACAUGAAGGGUUGAUAGUUCAGAUGCUGUCCUAUUUCGGAAAAUACAGUUGUACAUUGGAAGAGCUGUAAAUUACGAAGUAACCUAAUGCUGGAACGUGAUUUUUCCUGUUUCUUUUUC
Triticum aestivum (bread wheat) is the source of this 2664-nucleotide RNA transcript. It is a transcript of the gene named protein S-acyltransferase 24, with no coding region annotated. NCBI's taxonomy places the organism in Eukaryota, Viridiplantae, Streptophyta, Magnoliopsida, Poales, Poaceae. The transcript is spliced from 13 exons. The record is from RefSeq and is a predicted model, not a curated record.